UGGGGAAUAUUGCACAAUGGGCGCAAGCCUGAUGCAGCCAUGCCGCGUGUGUGAAGAAGGCCUUCGGGUUGUAAAGCACUUUCAGCGGGGAGGAAGGCGUUAAGGUUAAUAACCUUGGCGAUUGACGUUACCCGCAGAAGAAGCACCGGCUAACUCCGUGCCAGCAGCCGCGGUAAUACGGAGGGUGCAAGCGUUAAUCGGAAUUACUGGGCGUAAAGCGCACGCAGGCGGUCUGUCAAGUCGGAUGUGAAAUCCCCGGGCUCAACCUGGGAACUGCAUUCGAAACUGGCAGGCUAGAGUCUUGUAGAGGGGGGUAGAAUUCCAGGUGUGGCGGUGAAAUGCGUAUAGAUCUGGAGGAAUACCGGUGGCGAAGGCGGCCCCCUGGACAAAGACUGACGCUCAGGUGCGAAAGCGUGGGGAGCAAACAGG
RNAcentral lists this ribosomal RNA (429 nucleotides) under Chloroflexota bacterium. Its description in RNAcentral is "Chloroflexi bacterium partial 16S ribosomal RNA". It matches the Rfam family "Bacterial small subunit ribosomal RNA", at positions 355 to 776 of the family's 1533-position model. The record is from RNAcentral. Lineage: Bacteria; Bacillati; Chloroflexota.